RNAcentral lists this ribosomal RNA (429 nucleotides) under Acidobacteriota bacterium. RNAcentral's name for it is "Acidobacteria bacterium partial 16S ribosomal RNA". It matches the Rfam family "Bacterial small subunit ribosomal RNA", at positions 355 to 776 of the family's 1533-position model. The record is from RNAcentral. Lineage: Bacteria; Pseudomonadati; Acidobacteriota.
UGGGGAAUUUUGGACAAUGGGGGAAACCCUGAUCCAGCCAUCCCGCGUGUGCGAUGAAGGCCUUCGGGUUGUAAAGCACUUUUGGCAGGAAAGAAACGUCAUGGGUUAAUACCCCGUGAAACUGACGGUACCUGCAGAAUAAGCACCGGCUAACUACGUGCCAGCAGCCGCGGUAAUACGUAGGGUGCAAGCGUUAAUCGGAAUUACUGGGCGUAAAGCGUGCGCAGGCGGUUCGGAAAGAAAGAUGUGAAAUCCCAGAGCUCAACUUUGGAACUGCAUUUUUAACUACCGGGCUAGAGUGUGUCAGAGGGAGGUGGAAUUCCGCGUGUAGCAGUGAGAUGCGUAGAUAUGCGGAGGAACACCGGUGGCGAAGGCAGCCUCCUGGGAUAACACUGACGCUCAUGCACGAAAGCGUGGGGAGCAAACAGG